RNAcentral lists this ribosomal RNA (571 nucleotides) under bacterium amp-w-12. Its description in RNAcentral is "bacterial SSU rRNA". It matches the Rfam family "Bacterial small subunit ribosomal RNA", at positions 49 to 612 of the family's 1533-position model. The record is from RNAcentral.
CUACACAUGCAGUCGAGCGGUAGCACAGAGAGCUUGCUCUCGGGUGACGAGCGGCGGACGGGUGAGUAAUGUCUGGGAAACUGCCUGAUGGAGGGGGAUAACUACUGGAAACGGUAGCUAAUACCGCAUAACGUCGCAAGACCAAAGUGGGGGACCUUCGGGCCUCAUGCCAUCAGAUGUGCCCAGAUGGGAUUAGCUAGUAGGUGGGGUAAUGGCUCACCUAGGCGACGAUCCCUAGCUGGUCUGAGAGGAUGACCAGCCACACUGGAACUGAGACACGGUCCAGACUCCUACGGGAGGCAGCAGUGGGGAAUAUUGCACAAUGGGCGCAAGCCUGAUGCAGCCAUGCCGCGUGUAUGAAGAAGGCCUUCGGGUUGUAAAGUACUUUCAGCGAGGAGGAAGGCGUUAAGGUUAAUAACCUUGGUGAUUGACGUUACUCGCAGAAGAAGCACCGGCUAACUCCGUGCCAGCAGCCGCGGUAAUACGGAGGGUGCAAGCGUUAAUCGGAAUUACUGGGCGUAAAGCGCACGCAGGCGGUCUGUUAAGUCAGAUGUGAAAUCCCCGGGCUCAA